AUAAAUUCCAAAGAAGAUACUUUCUUCCUUUUAAGAAUUCAUGCAUGUCAGGUCAAAGUUUAAAAACAUUUCUAGUUAAUAUAAUAAAAGAUAACAUUUCUACUACACAGUGACUAAAGAAUAAUCAUUUAAGCAGAGUUGAAAAUAAACCUUAGUUGCCCUUUUGAAAAAAUGUCAAAAUACCUGCGUGACUCAGUAACAGUUCUGAUAUAUUUCAUAGCUACUAGAUAAAGAAAGUACUUCAUAAGACCCAGUUUUUCAUAAGAACUCAGAG
RNAcentral lists this long non-coding RNA (274 nucleotides) under Pan troglodytes (chimpanzee). Its description in RNAcentral is "long non-coding RNA NONPTRT012709". Lineage: Eukaryota; Metazoa; Chordata; Mammalia; Primates; Hominidae. The record is from RNAcentral.